RNAcentral lists this microRNA (23 nucleotides) under Drosophila ananassae. Its description in RNAcentral is "Dan-Mir-2-P3a-v1_5p* (star (passenger))". The record is from RNAcentral. Lineage: Eukaryota; Metazoa; Arthropoda; Insecta; Diptera; Drosophilidae.
CUCCUUAAAGUGGCGGUGACAUG